RNAcentral lists this ribosomal RNA (468 nucleotides) under uncultured bacterium. Its description in RNAcentral is "partial 16S ribosomal RNA". It matches the Rfam family "Bacterial small subunit ribosomal RNA", at positions 38 to 507 of the family's 1533-position model. The record is from RNAcentral.
GGGGGGGGGGGGGGGGGGGCGGGGGGGGGGGGGGGGGGGCGGGGGGGCCCGGCGUUUGUGGGGGGGGCGGGGGGCGAACGGGUGGGUACCACGUGAGUAACCGGCCAGUGAGUUUGGGAUAACUUCAGGAAACUGGGGCUCAUACCGGAUAGGAGCUCCUGCUGCAGGGGGGGGGUUGGACAGUUUCGGCGGGUGGGGAUGUACUCGCGGCUUAUCAGCGUGUUGGUGGGGUAGUGGCUUACCAAGGCUUUGACGGGUAGCCGGCCUGAGAGGGUGACCGGCCACAUUGGGACUGAGAUACGGCCCAGACUCCUACGGGAGGCAGCAGUGGGGAAUAUUGAACAAUGGGCGGAAGCCUGAUGCAGCAACGCCGCGUGCGGGAUGACGGCCUUCGGGUUGUAAACCGCUUUCGCCUGUGACGAAGCGUGAGUGACGGUAAUGGGUAAAGAAGCACCGGCUAACUACGUG